UGGGGUGCUAUGGGGCACAAUAGGGUGCUAUGGGGUGGCCUUAUGGGGCACAGUGGGGUGCUAUGGGGCUCAAUGGGGUGCUAUGGGGCACAAUGGGGUGCUAUGGGGUGCUAUGGGGCACAAUGGGGUGCUAUUGGGCACAAUGGGGUGCUAUGGGGCUCAAUGGGGUGCUAUGGGGCACAAUAGGGUGCUAUGGGGUGGCCUUAUGGGGCACAGUGGGGUGCUAUUGGGCUCAAUGGGGUGCUAUGGGGCACAAUGGGAUGGUAUGGGGUGCUAUGGGGCUCAAUUGGGUGCUAUAGGGCACAAUGGGGUGCUAUGGGGCAUAAUGGGGUGCUAUGGGGUGGCCCUAUGGGGCACAGUGGGGUGCUAUAGGUCCCAUAUGGGGUUGUGGGGCCUAUAUGGGGUUGUAGGCCAUGUAUGUGGUUAUGGGGCCCAUAUAGGGUUGUGGGGCCUGUAUGGGGUCUUUGGGGCCCAUAUGGAGUUACGGGGCCUGUAUCGGGUCUAUGGGGCUUGUAUGGGGUUGUAUGGGGUACUAUGGGGCCCA
This 544-nucleotide long non-coding RNA is filed under the name Coturnix japonica (Japanese quail). RNAcentral's name for it is "lncRNA (ENSCJPG00005002049.1)". Lineage: Eukaryota; Metazoa; Chordata; Aves; Galliformes; Phasianidae. The record is from RNAcentral.